AUCCAGCUGAUGUAUCUUAAAUAGGAUGAAAUGUAAGUCCUGGAU
RNAcentral lists this non-coding RNA (45 nucleotides) under Schistosoma haematobium. Lineage: Eukaryota; Metazoa; Platyhelminthes; Trematoda; Strigeidida; Schistosomatidae. The record is from RNAcentral.